Non-coding RNA from Hypoxylon sp. FL0890, 79 nucleotides. NCBI's taxonomy places the organism in Eukaryota, Fungi, Ascomycota, Sordariomycetes, Xylariales, Hypoxylaceae. The record is from the annotation of a GenBank genome assembly.
GCCCUCUUGGCUCAGUGGUAAAGCGCAUCACUAGUAAUAGUAAAUGAUGAGAUCACUGGUUCGAUUCCAGUAGGGGGCA